UGGGCAUGUGCAGGCCCAAGUAAAGAGUUUGUGCCUUGGCAAAAACAGCCUCUACCUCCUUGUCACACUUCGGUUUGGAAAGACUGAGCAGAGAAAAGCGGGAAAAUCCCAGACAAGAACCAUCAAUACAGAAGGCUGUGUCACUCCAUGACGGCAAUGGUGGCUCAGAGGUUUGGAGAAGCUGUGUGAGGUGAGUAAGAAAGUGGGCUGUGCCUUCCUGUGGCUAUGUGCUGACUCCCUCCCUCACAAACUGUUUUCUGCCUCUUAGGGGCAAGCAUAAGCUGGGUCCGUUUGGCUGGUGAGACUCAGAAGGGAAAAGAACACUGGGCUGUUGCAUACAGGGAUGUAGGGGACUGAAUCCCUGGAACUGAGGGCUUAGGGUGAAAGAGAAGCCCCCACCACCUAGGA
RNAcentral lists this long non-coding RNA (408 nucleotides) under Rattus norvegicus (Norway rat). RNAcentral's name for it is "long non-coding RNA NONRATT032452". The record is from RNAcentral. Lineage: Eukaryota; Metazoa; Chordata; Mammalia; Rodentia; Muridae.